UGGGAUGUAGUUCAGUGGAAGAGCACUUGCCUUGCAUGCAUGAGGCCUUAGGUUUAAUUUCCAGCACUGCAG
This 72-nucleotide transfer RNA is filed under the name Fukomys damarensis (Damara mole-rat). It matches the Rfam family "tRNA". Rfam says of the family: Transfer RNA (tRNA) molecules are approximately 80 nucleotides in length. Their secondary structure includes four short double-helical elements and three loops (D, anti-codon, and T loops). The record is from Rfam by way of RNAcentral. Lineage: Eukaryota; Metazoa; Chordata; Mammalia; Rodentia; Bathyergidae.